UACGUAGGGUGCGAGCGUUAAUCGGAAUUACUGGGCGUAAAGCGUGCGCAGGCGGUCCGCAAAGUCUGAUGUGAAAGCCCCGGGCUCAACCUGGGAACUGCAUUGGAAACUAACGGGCUCGAGUGUGGCAGAGGGGGGUGGAAUUCCACGUGUAGCAGUGAAAUGCGUAGAGAUGUGGAGGAACACCGAUGGCGAAGGCAGCCCCCUGGGCUAACACUGACGCUCAGGCACGAAAGCGUGGGGAGCAAAC
This 250-nucleotide ribosomal RNA is filed under the name uncultured bacterium. Its description in RNAcentral is "partial 16S ribosomal RNA". It matches the Rfam family "Bacterial small subunit ribosomal RNA", at positions 524 to 773 of the family's 1533-position model. The record is from RNAcentral. RNAcentral also lists the same sequence under 1 other name.